RNAcentral lists this ribosomal RNA (253 nucleotides) under uncultured bacterium. Its description in RNAcentral is "partial 16S ribosomal RNA". It matches the Rfam family "Bacterial small subunit ribosomal RNA", at positions 524 to 776 of the family's 1533-position model. The record is from RNAcentral.
UACGAAGGGGGCUAGCGUUGUUCGGAUUUACUGGGCGUAAAGCGCACGUAGGCGGGUUGUUAAGUCAGGGGUGAAAUCCUGGAGCUCAACUCCAGAACUGCCUUCGAUACUGGCGAUCUCGAGUUCGGGAGAGGUGAGUGGAACUGCGAGUGUAGAGGUGAAAUUCGUAGAUAUUCGCAAGAACACCAGUGGCGAAGGCGGCUCACUGGCCCGAUACUGACGCUGAGGUGCGAAAGCGUGGGGAGCAAACAGG